GUACAUGGGUUUCCAUGGAGACGCCUCAAACAACAUGCUGUUGCUGCCAGAAAUGCUGCCUAAUCUCUAUGGUUACCUAUGGCCUACGUCUCUUUCCUGUCUCCACUGAAACACUUCGUCCUUCUCUGAGGGUAAGUUACACAAAACCUACAUUUUCUUUCUUCUUGAUUUUCUCAUGUAUUUCUCAUUGAAAUCUCAUCAAGUUUUUAUAGAUUUAAUGUCCUAAGGACACACAGCUGCGCUGUGCAUACUGACUUUUUCAUACAUUUUUCAGAAAUAGUAUUUGUUAUGUAUUUCUUAUUAAACCCCUCACAGUAAA
Long non-coding RNA from Oncorhynchus masou masou (cherry salmon), 319 nucleotides. RefSeq lists it as uncharacterized. The transcript is spliced from 2 exons. Lineage: Eukaryota; Metazoa; Chordata; Actinopteri; Salmoniformes; Salmonidae. The record is from RefSeq and is a predicted model, not a curated record.